UACGAACUGUGCAAACGUUAUUCGGAAUCACUGGGCUUACAGGGUGCGUAGGCGGCUUGUUAAGCAGGGUGUGAAAUCCCUCGGCUCAACCGAGGAAUUGCGCCCUGAACUGGCGAGCUGGAGUGGGACAGAGGUGCGCGGAACUUCCAGUGGAGCGGUGAAAUGUGUUGAUAUUGGAAGGAACGCCGGAGGCGAAAGCGGCGCACUGGGUCUUAACUGACGCUGAGGCACGAAAGCCAGGGGAGCAAACGGGAUUAGAUACCCCGGUAGUCCUGGCCGUAAACUAUGAGCACUAGCUGGAAGCGGCGUAUGCCGUUUCCAACGUAGCGAAAGUGUUAAGUGCUCCGCCUGGGGAGUAUGGUCGCAAGGCUG
This 372-nucleotide ribosomal RNA is filed under the name uncultured prokaryote. Its description in RNAcentral is "bacterial SSU rRNA". It matches the Rfam family "Bacterial small subunit ribosomal RNA", at positions 524 to 896 of the family's 1533-position model. The record is from RNAcentral.